CCUACGGGUGGCAGCAGUAGGGAAUCUUUCACAAUGGGCGAAACCCUGAAGCAGCAACGCCGCGUGCAGGAUGAAGGCCUUCGGGUUGUAAACUGCUUUUAUAAGCGAGAAAUAUGAUGGUAACUUAUGAAUAAGGACCGGCUAACUACGUGCCAGCAGCGGCGGUAAUACGUAGGAUCCGAGCAUUAUCCGGAGUGACUGGGUGUAAAGAGUUGCUUGGGUGGGAUAAUAAGUAGCUAGUGGAAACUGGUGGCUCAAACCAUCAGACUAUUAUCUAAACUGUUAAGCUCGAGACCGGUAGGGGUAACUGGAAUUUCUAGUGUAGGAGUGAAAUCCGUAGAGAUUAAAAGGAACACCAAUAGCGUAGGCAAGUUACUGGGACAUUUCUGACACUGAGGCACGAAAGCGUAGGGAGCAAACGGGAUUAGAUACCCCAGUAGUC
RNAcentral lists this ribosomal RNA (442 nucleotides) under uncultured bacterium. Its description in RNAcentral is "partial 16S ribosomal RNA". It matches the Rfam family "Bacterial small subunit ribosomal RNA", at positions 338 to 795 of the family's 1533-position model. The record is from RNAcentral.